RNAcentral lists this ribosomal RNA (277 nucleotides) under uncultured bacterium. Its description in RNAcentral is "partial 16S ribosomal RNA". It matches the Rfam family "Bacterial small subunit ribosomal RNA", at positions 28 to 314 of the family's 1533-position model. The record is from RNAcentral.
GACUAACGCUGGCGGCGUGCCUAACACAUGCAAGUCGAACGAGGUAGCAAUACCUAGUGGCAGACGGGUGAGUAACACGUGGUCAACCUUCCCUACAGUGGGGGAUAACUAGCCGAAAGGUUAGCUAAUACCGCAUGAGAUCUUCGAGUGGCAUCAUUUGAAGAUGAAAGGAGCAAUCCGCUGAAGGACGGGACCGCGUCCCAUUAGCUAGAUGGUGGGGUAAUGGCCUACCAUGGCAACGAUGGGUAGCUGGUUUGAGAGAGCGACCAGCCACACU